RNAcentral lists this ribosomal RNA (497 nucleotides) under uncultured bacterium. RNAcentral describes it as "partial 16S ribosomal RNA". It matches the Rfam family "Bacterial small subunit ribosomal RNA", at positions 28 to 507 of the family's 1533-position model. The record is from RNAcentral.
GAUGAACGCUGGCGGCGUGCCUAAUACAUGCAAGUCGAGCGAACAGACGAGGAGCUUGCUCCUCUGACGUUAGCGGCGGACGGGUGAGUAACACGUGGAUAACCUACCUAUAAGACUGGGAUAACUUCGGGAAACCUGAUCUAAUACCGGAUAAUAUAUUGAACCUCAUGGUUCAAUAGUGAAAGACGGUUUUGCUGUCACUUAUAGAUGGAUCCGCGCCGCAUUAGCUAGUUGGUAAGGUAACGGCUUACCAAGGCAACGAUGCGUAGCCGACCUGAGAGGGUGAUCGGCCACACUGGAACUGAGACACGGUCCAGACUCCUACGGGAGGCAGCAGUAGGGAAUAUUCCGCAAUGGGCGAAAGCCUGACGGAGCAACGCCGCGUGAGUGAUGAAGGUCUUCGGAUCGUAAAACUCUGUUAUUAGGGAAGAACAAAUGUGUAAGUAACUAUGCACGUCUUGACGGUACCUAAUCAGAAAGCCACGGCUAACUACGUG